UGGGGAAUAUUGCACAAUGGGCGAAAGCCUGAUGCAGCAACGCCGCGUGAGUGAUGAAGGCCUUCGGGUUGUAAAGCUCUGUCUUUUGGGACGAUAAUGACGGUACCAAAGGAGGAAGCCACGGCUAACUACGUGCCAGCAGCCGCGGUAAUACGUAGGUGGCAAGCGUUGUCCGGAUUUACUGGGCGUAAAGGAUGCGUAGGCGGAUUUUUAAGUGAGAUGUGAAAACCCUAAGCUUAACUUGGGGACUGCAUUUCAUACUGGAAAUCUAGAGUGCGGGAGAGGAGAAUGGAAUUCCUAGUGUAGCGGUGAAAUGCGUAGAGAUUAGGAAGAACACCAGUGGCGAAGGCGAUUCUCUGGACCGUAACUGACGCUGAGGCAUGAAAGCGUGGGUAGCAAACAGGAUUAGAUACCCUGGUAGUCCACGCCGUAAACGAUGAGUACUAGGUGUAGGAGGUAUCGACCCCUUCUGUGCCGCAGUUAACACAAUAAGUACUCCGCCUGGGAAGUACGAUCGCAAGAUUAAAAACUCAAAUGAAUUGACGGGGGUCAUAGCUGUUUUCCU
RNAcentral lists this ribosomal RNA (565 nucleotides) under uncultured bacterium. RNAcentral describes it as "partial 16S ribosomal RNA". It matches the Rfam family "Bacterial small subunit ribosomal RNA", at positions 355 to 939 of the family's 1533-position model. The record is from RNAcentral.